Molecule: ribosomal RNA, 378 nt
Filed under: uncultured Xylophilus sp.
Lineage: Bacteria; Pseudomonadati; Pseudomonadota; Betaproteobacteria; Burkholderiales
Description: bacterial SSU rRNA
Rfam family: Bacterial small subunit ribosomal RNA
Source: RNAcentral
UACGUAGGGUGCGAGCGUUAAUCGGAAUUACUGGGCGUAAAGCGUGCGCAGGCGGUGAUGUAAGACAGAUGUGAAAUCCCCGGGCUCAACCUGGGAACUGCAUUUGUGACUGCAUCGCUGGAGUGCGGCAGAGGGGGAUGGAAUUCCGCGUGUAGCAGUGAAAUGCGUAGAUAUGCGGAGGAACACCGAUGGCGAAGGCAAUCCCCUGGGCCUGCACUGACGCUCAUGCGCGAAAGCGUGGGGAGCAAACAGGAUUAGAUACCCUGGUAGUCCACGCCCUAAACGAUGUCAACUGGUUGUUGGGUCUUCACUGACUCAGUAACGAAGCUAACGCGUGAAGUUGACCGCCUGGGGAGUACGGCCGCAAGGUUGAAACUC